RNAcentral lists this ribosomal RNA (483 nucleotides) under uncultured bacterium. RNAcentral describes it as "partial 16S ribosomal RNA". It matches the Rfam family "Bacterial small subunit ribosomal RNA", at positions 28 to 507 of the family's 1533-position model. The record is from RNAcentral.
GACGAACGCUGGCGGCGUGCUUAACACAUGCAAGUCGAACGCUGCAGCCCAGCUUUUGUUGGGUGGAUGAGUGGCGACGGGGUGAGUAACACGUGAGUAACCUGCCUCCUCCUUUGGGAUAACGUCCGGCCACGGGUGGUAAUCCUGGAUAUUCACUGGUCUUCGCAUGGGGGUUGGUGGAAAGGGUUUUUCUGGUGGGGGAUGGGCUCGCGGCCUAUCAGCUUGUUGGUGGGGUGAUGGCCUACCAAGGGUUUGACGGGUAGCCGGCCUGAGAGGGUGGCCGGUCUCAGAGGGACUGAAAUACGGCCGAGACUGCUACGGGGGGCAGCAGUGGGGAGUAUUGCGCAAUGGGCGCAAGCCUGAUGCAGCGACGCCGCGUGAGGAGUAGUGGCCUGCGGGUUGUGAACCUCUUACGCUCAUAAUGAAGCCGCAACAAUGGUUAUAGUGAGAGUAGUGGGUAAAGAAGCGCCGGCUAACUACGUG